RNAcentral lists this ribosomal RNA (625 nucleotides) under Psilocybe azurescens. RNAcentral's name for it is "eukaryotic LSU rRNA". It matches the Rfam family "Eukaryotic large subunit ribosomal RNA", at positions 47 to 654 of the family's 3401-position model. The record is from RNAcentral. Lineage: Eukaryota; Fungi; Basidiomycota; Agaricomycetes; Agaricales; Agrocybaceae.
UAAGCGGAGGAAAAGAAACUAACAAGGAUUCCCCUAGUAACUGCGAGUGAAGCGGGAAAAGCUCAAAUUUAAAAUCUGGCGGUCUUUGGYCGUCCGAGUUGUAAUCUAGAGAAGUGUUAUCCGCGCUGGACCGUGUACAAGUCUCCUGGAAUGGAGCGUCAUAGAGGGUGAGAAUCCCGUCUUUGACACGGACUGCCAGGGCUUUGUGAUGCGCUCUCAAAGAGUCGAGUUGUUUGGGAAUGCAGCUCAAAAUGGGUGGUAAAUUCCAUCUAAAGCUAAAUAUUGGCGAGAGACCGAUAGCGAACAAGUACCGUGAGGGAAAGAUGAAAAGAACUUUGGAAAGAGAGUUAAACAGUACGUGAAAUUGCUGAAAGGGAAACGCUUGAAGUCAGUCGCGUUGGCCGGGGAUCAACCUUGCUUUUGCUGGGCGUACUUUCCGGUCGACGGGUCAGCAUCAAUUUUGACCGUUGGAUAAAGGCUGAGGGAAUGUGGCUCCUUCGGGAGUGUUAUAACCCUUGGUCGCAUACAACGAUUGGGAUUGAGGAACUCAGCACGCCGCAAGGCCGGGUACUUGUACCACGUUCGUGCUUAGGAUGCUGGCAUAAUGGCUUUAAUCGACCCGUCU